This 887-nucleotide long non-coding RNA is filed under the name Homo sapiens (human). RNAcentral describes it as "novel transcript". Lineage: Eukaryota; Metazoa; Chordata; Mammalia; Primates; Hominidae. The record is from RNAcentral.
AGUGAUGGGGCUCCCUUUGGCAGUAAGAAAUCCCCUCUCACGCCAGAUGGAAGAAUGUGAUAUGCACAUUUGGAGUCUGUCUUUCUUGGGGAAGAAAACACAUGCACAAAUCCUGGUGUAAGGAAUAUUUUAAGCAUAUAUCUUCAAUAUCAUUCAUCCAGGACCGAGCAAGACCAACACUCUUCCUCCUCCUCUGCCUACUCAAUGUGAAGACAAUGAGGAUGAACACCUUUAUGAUGCUCCACUUCCACUUAUUGAAUAGUGCUACACAUGAAACUUGUAACCAGUUACUACAGGCGAAAGCAAAUCCAUGUCUUCAGGCUGGUGUCAUCAGGGAGAGAAGCUUUGGUUUCCACAUAAGGAUAUAAGAUCAUUGAUGUAAAACAAGACAUGUAACCUCUCAAAUUGAGAGAAUGGAUUGGAGAGAUAUUGUUGACCAUGUUUUCCCCUGUAUCUCACCUUCCCCUCUCCAAGACUUCCUUGUCAGUUACCCAUAUUGAUAUCAGUUUAUCCACAUCCAUGCUUUCAAGUUUAAACAAAGAAACUAGGCAAAGGCAGCUAUGUAUUCGCUAGGAUUAGGGAGGAGAAGAUAAUGAACCACUGGAUAGUGAGAAGAAAGAGAGGUGGAGAAAGUGAGAGACCCCAGUAACAGAGGACAGGGACACAUUGCUAAGGAUAGGGACACAUUCACUGUAAUAUAGAAGGCCAUGCUUAUAUGUAAAAUAUGCAGUAAUUGUAUAUAUAUGUACAAAAGUGAUGACACACAUAUGCACAUAAACAAAACACAAUUACUGUCUAUGUUUCUUUAUUUGUGACCUAAUGUUUUAUGUUGUUUGUAACUGAAAAAAAAAUUCCCUUCUGAAUAAAAUGUCAAUUUUGCGAUUGCA